AGUCAUUGGGAAUAAAAUAUUUUUUCAUCGAAAUAUUAAUAAAUUUUAUGAAACCCAAAGGCGCAAUAAAAGUAAAAUAAAUUUUUUAUUUAUUUUUUAUAAAUAAAUAUAUUAAAAUUUUGAGGGAGGAUAUAUUUUUAUUACGUAUUAAAUAUCGCACUCCCAGGGCAUCUUAUACUAUUCUUAUAAUUAUUUUAUAAUUUUUAUUAUGAAUAAAGGUGCACCUAGAGCGUACACGCUGGGACCCGAAAGAUGGUGAACUAUGCCUGGUCAGGACGAAGUCAGGGGAAACCCUGAUGGAGGUCCGUAGCGAUUCUGACGUGCAAAU
RNAcentral lists this ribosomal RNA (328 nucleotides) under Myrmeleon caliginosus. RNAcentral describes it as "partial 28S ribosomal RNA". It matches the Rfam family "Eukaryotic large subunit ribosomal RNA", at positions 689 to 898 of the family's 3401-position model. The record is from RNAcentral. Lineage: Eukaryota; Metazoa; Arthropoda; Insecta; Neuroptera; Myrmeleontidae.